CCUACGGGAGGCAGCAGUAGGGAAUCUUCCGCAAUGGACGAAAGUCUGACGGAGCAACGCCGCGUGAACGAUGAAGGCCUUCGGGUCGUAAAGUUCUGUUGUUAGGGAAGAACAAGUGCUAGUUGAAUAAGCUGGCACCUUGACGGUACCUAACCAGAAAGCCACGGCUAACUACGUGCCAGCAGCCGCGGUAAUACGUAGGUGGCAAGCGUUGUCCGGAAUUAUUGGGCGUAAAGCGCGCGCAGGCGGUUCCUUAAGUCUGAUGUGAAAGCCCCCGGCUCAACCGGGGAGGGUCAUUGGAAACUGGGGAACUUGAGUGCAGAAGAGGAGAGCGGAAUUCCACGUGUAGCGGUGAAAUGCGUAGAGAUGUGGAGGAACACCAGUGGCGAAGGCGGCUCUCUGGUCUGUAACUGACGCUGAGGCGCGAAAGCGUGGGGAGCGAACAGGAUUAGAUACCCUGGUAGUCCACGCCGUAAACGAUGAGUGCUAAGUGUUAGAGGGUUUCCGCCCUUUAGUGCUGCAGCAAACGCAUUAAGCACUCCGCCUGGGGAGUACGGUCGCAGGGCUGAAACUUAAAGGAAUUGACGG
RNAcentral lists this ribosomal RNA (588 nucleotides) under uncultured bacterium. RNAcentral's name for it is "bacterial SSU rRNA". It matches the Rfam family "Bacterial small subunit ribosomal RNA", at positions 338 to 916 of the family's 1533-position model. The record is from RNAcentral.